AUGGAGGAGUUGGAGGGAGGGAGGAGGCUGUGCUUUGGUGACAUUUAUGAAAGAACCAUAACACCUAGUACAAUAGUAAACACAUUGGAUGAAAGAGGACAGCGAUGGCUACGUUUUGAGGGUAAAAUCAUACCUGUAGAGCAAGCGCUGCGGACACAGCAGCAGUUUUAAAAAAUAUUUUAAGAUUAAUUUUUUCGCUCCUCUCACUCUAGCAGUUCAGCUGUCUCACUCUAGCCCCAACAUUCCGUCCCAUACACACCCAUUAUAAACUCUGAAACGGCUGAAAAAACAUCAUGAAACUUAAACUGGAACUGAAGAAAAAGUAUAACAGAUAUUGAAAAGAUAAAUACAAGUUGAAUAGUUGAAUGUCUUGUCUUCGUUUUAAAGUUUGAAUGGUAGCUCUAUGUCAACGUAUGUUGAAGUAGAUACAGUUUGAAAAUGAGUAAGUUGAAUGAGGAUUUGAAGGGUCUCCCCAUUGAAAUACAUGGGAAAUUUUUGUUGAAAAAGUUGAAUAAUUUUAAAAUAUAAAUGUUAUAAAUGAGAAAAGUAGAAGCAGUCAUGUCCAAAAGAAGAGGAAUCUAAUGGUGUUUGAAUGGUUUUUCUAAGUUGAACGGUUUUGAAGGAGAUAGAUGCCAAAAACGUACGGAAUAUGAUAUAAUAAUAAUAAUAAAGAUUAGAAGAACAAUACUGUGAAUGCUUUUACAAGCAUUCACACUAAUAAUAAAGAUUAGAAGAACAAUACUGUGAAUGCUUUUACAAGCAUUCACACUAACUAGAAAGUGCAUUUUCUGAAGAAACUGCAGUGUGAAUGCUUGAAUCUGAAUGUAUGCACUGAAAUGAAUUAAUUGCUGAAUUUUAAGUUAAAAAUAAAAAUGUUGAAUGAGAUGGAAAAUACAGAGUUUUUAACCUGAAAACAAAAGUGCAGAACUUUUGAAAGCUGAUGUUCACACAGAAGAAGUUGGAAAAUAGCUGAAAAGUUUUUAAAUUAAAAUUUGGAAAACCUAAGAAAUGAGAACAGAAAAUUUAGAGUCAGAAAACAUCUGAAUGAAUAUUAAAAGUUCAUAUUCUUUGAAUCACUGAAUGACUAAAGUGUAAUCCCUCCACUUGGAUCCACACACUUUUAAAGGUUUACAUCUCUGAGCUUUGAAAGACAUGCUGUUGGAAAGAGAACAACGAUGGCUUCGUUUUGAGGGUAAAAUGAUGGCUGUAGAGCAAACACUGUGGACACAGCAGCAGUUGAAAGAGAAGUGUUUAAGAUGAAUAUUGGCAGAGUGAGAGAGAGCUCGUUAGGCAGGCAGGCAGGUGUGAGCCUGGUUGCUAUAGUGACUGCACCCACUGGCUCCAUACACACGCGCACAGACAUGCACCUCACUUUUGCUGCUUAAAAUGAACAGAAAAGUCAGGUCGAAACAAAUUGCUCCCAAAUGAAAAGUACAGGUCCUAUUGACAAAAUUC
Molecule: long non-coding RNA, 1455 nt
Filed under: Oreochromis niloticus (Nile tilapia)
Lineage: Eukaryota; Metazoa; Chordata; Actinopteri; Cichliformes; Cichlidae
Description: lncRNA (ENSONIG00000040556.1)
Source: RNAcentral